GAUGAACGCUGGCGGCGUGCCUAAUACAUGCAAGUCGAGCGAACAGACGAGGAGCUUGCUCCUCUGACGUUAGCGGCGGACGGGUGAGUAACACGUGGAUAACCUACCUAUAAGACUGGGAUAACUUCGGGAAGCCGGAGCUAAUACCGGAUAAUAUAUUGAACCGCAUGGUUCAAUAGUGAAAGACGGUUUUGCUGUCACUUAUAGAUGGAUCCGCGCCGCAUUAGCUAGUUGGUAAGGUAACGGCUUACCAAGGCAACGAUGCGUAGCCGACCUGAGAGGGUGAUCGGCCACACUGGAACUGAGACACGGUCCAGACUCCUACGGGAGGCAGCAGUAGGGAAUCUUCCGCAAUGGGCGAAAGCCUGACGGAGCAACGCCGCGUAAGUGAUGAAGGUCUUCGGAUCGUAAAACUCUGUUAUUAGGGAAGAACAAAUGUGUAAGUAACUAUGCACGUCUUGACGGUACCUAAUCAGAAAGCCACGGCUAACUACGUG
RNAcentral lists this ribosomal RNA (497 nucleotides) under uncultured bacterium. RNAcentral's name for it is "partial 16S ribosomal RNA". It matches the Rfam family "Bacterial small subunit ribosomal RNA", at positions 28 to 507 of the family's 1533-position model. The record is from RNAcentral.